RNAcentral lists this ribosomal RNA (1958 nucleotides) under Shigella dysenteriae. RNAcentral describes it as "partial 23S ribosomal RNA". It matches the Rfam family "Bacterial large subunit ribosomal RNA", at positions 1005 to 2925 of the family's 2925-position model. Lineage: Bacteria; Pseudomonadati; Pseudomonadota; Gammaproteobacteria; Enterobacterales; Enterobacteriaceae. The record is from RNAcentral.
CCGUCGUGAAGAGGGAAACAACCCAGACCGCCAGCUAAGGUCCCAAAGUCAUGGUUAAGUGGGAAACGAUGUGGGAAGGCCCAGACAGCCAGGAUGUUGGCUUAGAAGCAGCCAUCAUUUAAAGAAAGCGUAAUAGCUCACUGGUCGAGUCGGCCUGCGCGGAAGAUGUAACGGGGCUAAACCAUGCACCGAAGCUGCGGCAGCGACACUAUGUGUUGUUGGGUAGGGGAGCGUUCUGUAAGCCUGUGAAGGUGUACUGUGAGGUAUGCUGGAGGUAUCAGAAGUGCGAAUGCUGACAUAAGUAACGAUAAAGCGGGUGAAAAGCCCGCUCGCCGGAAGACCAAGGGUUCCUGUCCAACGUUAAUCGGGGCAGGGUGAGUCGACUCCUAAGGCGAGGCCGAAAGGCGUAGUCGAUGGGAAACAGGUUAAUAUUCCUGUACUUGGUGUUACUGCGAAGGGGGGACGGAGAAGGCUAUGUUGGCCGGGCGACGGUUGUCCCGGUUUAAGCGUGUAGGCUGGUUUUCCAGGCAAAUCCGGAAAACUAAGGCUGAGGCGUGAUGACGAGGCACUACGGUGCUGAAGCAACAAAUGCCCUGCUUCCAGGAAAAGCCUCUAAGCAUCAGGUAACAUCAAAUCGUACCCCAAACCGACACAGGUGGUCAGGUAGAGAAUACCAAGGCGCUUGAGAGAACUCGGGUGAAGGAACUAGGCAAAAUGGUGCCGUAACUUCGGGAGAAGGCACGCUGAUAUGUAGGUGAAGUCCCUCGCGGAUGGAGCUGAAAUCAGUCGAAGAUACCAGCUGGCUGCAACUGUUUAUUAAAAACACAGCACUGUGCAAACACGAAAGUGGACGUAUACGGUGUGACGCCUGCCCGGUGCCGGAAGGUUAAUUGAUGGGGUCAGCGCAAGCGAAGCUCUUGAUCGAAGCCCCGGUAAACGGCGGCCGUAACUAUAACGGUCCUAAGGUAGCGAAAUUCCUUGUCGGGUAAGUUCCGACCUGCACGAAUGGCGUAAUGAUGGCCAGGCUGUCUCCACCCGAGACUCAGUGAAAUUGAACUCGCUGUGAAGAUGCAGUGUACCCGCGGCAAGACGGAAAGACCCCGUGAACCUUUACUAUAGCUUGACACUGAACAUUGAGCCUUGAUGUGUAGGAUAGGUGGGAGGCUUUGAAGUGUGGACGCCAGUCUGCAUGGAGCCGACCUUGAAAUACCACCCUUUAAUGUUUGAUGUUCUAACGUUGACCCGUAAUCCGGGUUGCGGACAGUGUCUGGUGGGUAGUUUGACUGGGGCGGUCUCCUCCUAAAGAGUAACGGAGGAGCACGAAGGUUGGCUAAUCCUGGUCGGACAUCAGGAGGUUAGUGCAAUGGCAUAAGCCAGCUUGACUGCGAGCGUGACGGCGCGAGCAGGUGCGAAAGCAGGUCAUAGUGAUCCGGUGGUUCUGAAUGGAAGGGCCAUCGCUCAACGGAUAAAAGGUACUCCGGGGAUAACAGGCUGAUACCGCCCAAGAGUUCAUAUCGACGGCGGUGUUUGGCACCUCGAUGUCGGCUCAUCACAUCCUGGGGCUGAAGUAGGUCCCAAGGGUAUGGCUGUUCGCCAUUUAAAGUGGUACGCGAGCUGGGUUUAGAACGUCGUGAGACAGUUCGGUCCCUAUCUGCCGUGGGCGCUGGAGAACUGAGGGGGGCUGCUCCUAGUACGAGAGGACCGGAGUGGACGCAUCACUGGUGUUCGGGUUGUCAUGCCAAUGGCACUGCCCGGUAGCUAAAUGCGGAAGAGAUAAGUGCUGAAAGCAUCUAAGCACGAAACUUGCCCCGAGAUGAGUUCUCCCUGACUCCUUGAGAGUCCUGAAGGAACGUUGAAGACGACGACGUUGAUAGGCCGGGUGUGUAAGCGCAGCGAUGCGUUGAGCUAACCGGUACUAAUGAACCGUGAGGCUUAACCUUACAACGCCGAAGGUGUUU